ACCAGAAGUAACUUUCAUGGCGCCAGAGGACCAUUUUCGCUACACAGUUGAUGAGCUCCUCAAAAUGGCCACAGAUACACUCUUCUGUCUCCAAGCCUAAAGUGACCACAGUUUGUGCAGAUCUGUGGAUAUCGCUGUGCUGGACUGUGGAUAUCACCUGAGAAAUACUUACAUCUAUGGUGAAGCCACAGUGGUCACAGAAAUGUUGUGCUUCCCCUGUGUUAC
Molecule: long non-coding RNA, 225 nt
Filed under: Anser brachyrhynchus (Pink-footed goose)
Lineage: Eukaryota; Metazoa; Chordata; Aves; Anseriformes; Anatidae
Description: lncRNA (ENSABRG00000017977.1)
Source: RNAcentral